UUUCCCCGCGGGGGGGGCGCGUGUGGCCCGCUCCGGGCUGGAGCGCUCACCGACAGCGGCAGCCUCCCCUGGCGGCGGGUAAAGACGAGAGCGGCCGCCGCUGGGCGGGGACAGCCGGAGCCCUCCUGCGCGGGGCUACGGGCUUCCCCCUCCCCCGCGCUGUGUUCAGUGGUAUCGCCCCAGCGGCCGACUGCGGCGCGGCCGUCACCGGGCGGGAGGGGUUGUGGUUUGGGUGGUUGGUUUUUUGGUUUUUUUUUUUGCUCCCUCCUGUUGCCAUAGAGACUGCGGGGUGCCGCCCCCCCCCCCCCCCGUCCCGCGCCGGGCUGGGACACGUCGCCGCCGCCGCCGCCCCGGGAGGUCUGCGGGGCCCUCCGCAGUUUACCAGGAAAUUCCACCUUGCUAUGAGAACCAGAAAUGGAUCCAGAAGAGCAGGAGUUACUUGGUGAUUACAGAUACAGAAAUUAUUCUUCAGCGAUUGAGAAAGCUUUGAGAAACUUUGAAUCAUCAAGUGAAUGGGCGGAUCUUAUAUCUUCACUUGGCAAACUCAAUAAGGCUCUUCAGAGUAACUUGAAGUAUUCUCUGUUGCCAAGACGGCUGAUAAUCAGUAAAAGAUUAUCUCAGUGUUUGCAUCCAGCACUACCUAGUGGAGUACAUUUAAAGGCAUUAGAAACCUAUGAAAUAAUCUUUAAAAUUAUUGGGACAAAAUGGCUUGCCAAGGAUUUAUUCUUGUACAGCUCUGGUUUGUUUCCUCUGCUGGCAAAUGCAGCAAUGUCAGUGAGGCCUGUUCUCCUUGGUUUGUAUGAGAAAUACUUUCUUCCUCUCCAAAAGUCCCUCCUGCCUGGUCUUCAAGCCUUUCUAAUUGGACUGCUGCCUGGAUUGGAAGAAGGAUCAGAAAUUUAUGACAGAACAGAUGCUGUGCUUGUGAAGCUCUCAUUGUUGAUGGGCCAAGAAGUGUUCUAUGGAGCACUCUGGGGUGGUGUCCUGGUCAGCCCAUCCAUCAGGCUGCCUGCUUCUCUUUUUGUUGUCAGUCAUAUCAACAGAGAGCUGUCUGGAAAACAGCAGAAGUACAUGCUUGGCGCUGAUUAUAAGCUCACAAUAAAGUCUUUGUGUGUAUCAGUAUUGGAUUCAAAUGUCCUUGUGCAAAGAAACACUUUAGAAGUGAUUCUCUUCUUCUUCCCAUUUUAUACAGCUUUGGACUGCAAUGAAAGCAGUAUUCUAUUGCACAGGACUGAUUUAGUCUAUAUUCUGUCAGCAGCUACACAGACAUUGUUGAGGAGAGACAUGUCACUCAAUAGAAGAUUAUACGCAUGGUUGCUAGGCUCUGAUAUUAAAGGUGGUACUUUUGCUCCAGACUCAACUUCUGAAGACCAUGCUAUUUAUUUCUUUGGAAAAUAUUCUAAAGAUCUUUUGGUUGAGAGUUUGACUGAAAUUUUACAUCAGAAAUUCCCAGAGUCUGAUACAGAGGAACAGCAUCAAGCUUAUCUGAAACCCUUCCGCAUCCUAAUCAGUCUCCUUGACAAACCUGAAAUAGGGCCGCAGGUGGUUGGGGAUUUGUUCCUUGAAGUUAUUAGAGCCUUUUAUUCCUACUGCAAAGAUGCACUUGGUUCUGAUCUCAAACUUAGCUACAAUCAAAGUGGCAACAUACUUGCAAGCGCAAUCAAAGAGAACAAAAAUGCUUCGGAAAUUGUCAAAACAGUCAAUUUGUUGAUCACAUCCUUAAGCACGGAUUUUCUUUGGGAUUACAUGACCAAAUGUUUCGAAGAUUGUUUCAGAAACAAAUCCACACAGAUGAGAUAUCCUCUUGAAAAUAUUAGCACUCCUCCUACAAUUUCAGAGCUCUGCACACUAUUGGUGUUUCUUCUUGACGUGAUUCCUUUGGAACUCUACUCUGAAGUACAGACUCAGUAUCUUCCACAGAUGCUCAGUUAUAUGGUGCAGUCUCUCCUGGAAAAUAUGGAAGUAUUAGGUUUACCAGAACUCACUCAUGCCUUGAAGACCUGUUUUAAGGUGCUUAGCAAAGUUCAAAUGCCCCCUUCCUAUUUGGACAUUGAGACAGGAAGUGGAAAUGGGAGCCCAGUGAAAAACAAAAAUGUGGACAUAACCUUGGAGUCUAACUCUGUGCUGCAGGAGGAGGAUGAGACUCCAUUCCCUCCCCUGAAGUCAGAAGACAGUGGCAUUGGUCUAAGCACUUCCUCCCCAGAGCUCUCUCAGCACUUGGGGGUGCCAAGUGUGACCCUUGAGAGAGAUGAUGUCUGGAAGAAAGGGGGGAGCAUUCAGAAGACUUUGUAUUGCAUCCAAGAGCUGGUUGCCAAGUUUUCCAGUAAAUAUGUUUUUGGGGUGCAAUUUCAAGAAACAAGUAAUGAAAGCAUCUCAGCAAUGAAUCUGAGUGGAAAAGAGAAAAAAGAUAAUGGCUACAGAUUACCUGAAAGUGCUAGCAAGAAAAAGAGCCCAUGGGAUGCAAAGCAAAUCACCGUACCUCAGUUUAAACAAAUGCUUUCAGACUUGUUCUCAGUUCGAGGGUCACCAUUCAAGAACAAGAGUUCUAAUCCUCUUCCUUCUGACUGCAUCUCUGGUAAUAAGAAGGAAAAGGAGGAGGAAGAGUGGGACUUGGAACAAGUGAUGCUUGUCUUGGGACCCCUUAGAGGGGACUGCAAGGAAGCUUUCGCUGCAGCUUGUCACCUUUUGUUGGAUUGUACCACAUUCCCAGUCUAUCUUUCGGAGGAGGAGAUGGAACAGUUGUAUCUCUCUCUUUUUCAGGUUCCUGGAGGUUGUGAUGCCAGCUUCCCUCUGUGGCUGAAGUCCUUAAUGACAAUAUGCUGUUGUGUGAGUGACUGCUAUGUUCAGAACGUGUCCAUCUUCACACUGCUGGAGGUGAUCAACCAUUCCCAGUCACUGGCACUUGUGAUAGAAGACAGAAUGAAGCGGUACAAAGUGUCUGGCCACAACCCCUUCUUUGGAAAGCUACAGAUGGUCACCCUUCCUCCCAUUGCUCCUGGAGUUCUAAAGAUCAUCUCAGAGAAAACAGAUUUCUACCAGAGAGUAGCUUGCGUGCUCUGGAAUCAGCUGAACAAAGAGACACGGGAGCAUCAUAUUGCCUGUGUGGAACUGUUCUACAGGCUGCACUGCUUGGCACCAUCAGCAAAUAUCUGUGAAGACAUUAUCUGCCACGCACUUCUGGAUCAUGAUAAAGGGACAAGGCUGGAAGCACUGUUCAGAUUCUCUGUCAUGUGGCAUCUGACCAGAGAGAUCCAAGGCAGCAGAGUGACUUCUCACAAUCGGUCCUUUGAUAGGUCUCUGUUUGUGGUACUGGACAGUCUCAAUUGUUCAGAUGGUGCAAUUGGUGCUGCAGCACAGGGCUGGCUGAUCCGUGCUCUUUCACUUAAUGAUGUUGCACGGAUUCUUGAACCAGUCCUGCUGCUGCUGCUUCAUCCAAAGACACAGCGCACGUCCAUCCACUACAUCAAACAGAAAAAUUCAGCAGAAGAUAUACAUGAUUGGCUUUGCAAGAAAAAGGCCUCUUUGAAAGAGUCUGGCAUCUCUGAGUGCAAUUCCGAGGAAAACCUUCCAUUGAGCCAGUUUACUACUGUGGAUAGAGAAGCAAUUUGGGCAGAAGUGGAAAAAGAUCCAGAGAAGUUGGAGUUAAAAAUUGAACAGUCUGAAAAUGAUGGCUCUUGUAAUCCAGUAACUUCACAUGAAGCAGAUGAUGACCAAGAUAAUAGUGAGCACACAGAAUCAGCAGACACCAGCACAGGCCGUGACAGUGAAAAUACAUCCUCUUUUUCUCCUUCUCUGGAGCUGCAAGAAGUGAGCAAUGAGGACAAUGACAGUGCUGCAACCGAUGGAAAAGAGACCACAAACCACGUGAAUUCUCUCAAUGCGUUCCUUCCUGAAAGCUCCAAAUCCAGUGUAGCGCUAAACCUUGUGCGUGCUGACUCUGAGAGGACUCAAGCAUCAGAGUCUCUGUCAAGUGAUGAAGAGGUGGACUUGGAGCUCCAGGAAAUUACCCAUUCUAGGUUGCUCAAGCAGCAGAAGGAAAAGCAGGAGAUGAUUGAGGCUCUGUUCAAACACAUGCUGCUAUAUUUGCAGCCUUAUGAUUCUAAGAGGGUAUUGUAUGCUUUUUCUGUUCUGGAGGCAGUGCUUAAAACAAACCCUAAAGAAUUUAUUGAAGCCGUAGCUAGUACAAGCAUGGAUACCAGCUCCACAGCACAUUUGAAUCUUAUUUACAAUCUCUUAGCUCGCCAUCAGGAAGCUCUUGUAGGACAGAGUUUUUAUGGCAAGCUUCAGACUCAGUCCCCAACCAUGUGUCCCCAUUCUCUUCUAAUAGAAUUGCUCACUUACCUCUGUCUCAGUUUUCUGCGCUCGUAUUAUCCGUGCUACUUGAAGGUUACGCACAGAGAUGUGCUUGGCAACAGAGAUGUUCAGGUAAAAAGUGUGGAAGUCCUGAUUAGAAUGAUGACCCAGCUAGCUACUAUGGCAAAGGCAGCAGAGAAUAAGAAUGUGGAGUUCAUACGCAAUUUGCUAGGAAGAUGCAAAAUUCAGGAGUUUGUUCUUCUUUCUUUGUCUGCAUCUAUGUAUACAAGUCAGAAACGGUAUGAACUGCUUAUGGCAGAUGGAGUUAAUAAUGUUCCUGAAGAAGACCUCUUUGAAGAGAGCGUAAUUAAUUUUGGGCAUGAUCAAAUAUGGAGCGAACACCCACUCCAGAUUGAGUUGCUGAAGCUCUUGCAGGUAUUGAUUGUCUUGGAGCACCAUCUUGGACAGACUCAUGAGGAGCAGGAGAAUCAGCCAGACCUCUCUAAGGAAUGGCAGCAGGCUCUUAAUUUCCAGCAGGCAAUUGGUGCAAUGCAAUACGUCUAUCCGCACCCAAUAACUUCACAGGGAUUAUUCGUCUCUGCUGUGGUUAGAGGUUUGCAACCAGAGUAUGGCUAUGGGAUGCAUCCCACUUGGGUAGGCUUAGUCACAUGUUCCCUGCCCUAUUUUGGGAAGUCUUUGGGCUGGACUGUGGCACCAUUUGUUGUACAGAUAUGUAAAAACCUGGAUGAGCUUGUCAAACAGUAUGAAAAUGAAGCUGUGAAGACAUCUGCAAAAACAUCUGCAAGCAUAACUUCUAAAAGAGAAAAUGUUACACCUGAUUACCCACUAACCCUUUUGGAAGGUCUGACAACCAUCGGUCACUUCUGCCUUCUGGAUCACCCUAACCAAACUAAAAAGUCAUCAUGUUUAGCUGAACCUGCAAACCUGAGAAAUGCUAGGAAUGCCAUUUUGGAAGAAUUGCCUCGCAUUAUUAAUACCAUGUCCCUUCUUUGGAGCGUUAUAAAGAGGGAAGACUCUCAAAAAAGACCAACUGACUUCUUUGGAACAACUAAAGGCUCUUCUUCAGUCUACUUUAAAGCAACCAAAGUAACAUUAAGAACUAAAAUACUGGACUUCAUGAAUCCAUUGACAGCACAACUUGGAAUCCAGUUGAUGGCAGCAAUUGCAGCAGUAUGGAAUAGCAAGAAACCUCAUAGGAAUCAAAGUAAAAUCAAGAUUCUUCCAGUGGCUAGUGCAGCUCAGCUUAUUCUUGUGGACUUAAUAUGUGCACUUAACACAUUGAAAAUUGACACUAUAUUACAUCUAGUCAAAGAGGUAGUCAAGAAACCAUCACAAAUCAAGGGCGAAGAGAAAUCUUCUCUUGUAGAUAUUCCAGUGCUGCAGUUCAGUUAUGCUUUCAUUCAAAGACUGCCUGUCUCAGCCUUGCAGGAGAACUUCCAGUCCUUAUUAGGACUUCUCAAAGAGUCUGUGCAGUUGAACUUGGCUCCUCCUGGACACUUUCUUCUUCUCAGUACUCUGAAUGACUUUGUGACUAGGACGCCUACUCUAGAAAACAAAAAAGACCAAAAAGACUUGCAGGAGGUGACCCAAAAAAUCUUGGAGGCUGUAGGGACGGUUGCUGGUUCUUCUCUGGAACAGACUAGCUGGCUGAGCCGGAACUUAGAAGUGAAAGCUCAGCCUCAGAUUUUACCGGAUGACUUCAACAUUGAAGAUGUGAAUGAUACAUCAGUGGCACCAUCUUCGAUGAUUUCUGCCUCUGCUCCUUCGAUAUACAGUGUCCAAGCUCUUUCUCUCCUUGCAGAAGUUCUUGCUUCUCUUUUGGACAUGGUUUACCGGAGCGACGAGAAGGAGAAAGCUGUGCCAUUGAUUUCACGUUUGCUUUAUUAUGUCUUUCCUUAUCUACGCAACCACAGAAGGGCAACAAGGAAACAAUGCCACUGCUGAGUCUUUCCUGUGAAGCGGUCAAAAGUUUGUUGGUAGUCUGGAUGAAGACCAGGACAGCAAUUGGAGAUAAGGAACAGCACAGCAGACGUGCCCACUGCAGAAAACUAGAAGAAAUCUUCAAGUACCCACUCACCGCCAAGCCUGCAGCCCAUUUCAGCUCAAUUCUGAGUGUCACCAUGCAGUAGUAUCUAGAGCGGUGCAUGCUGUCCCUGAACCCUACAGGAUGGUCUGGGCAGGAGCACAUCCAUGGACCGUUUACAUCCAUGGACCGUUUACAUCCACGGACUCCUUUCCACACCACAGCUGGCUUCAGGAGAGCUGUUGGUUAAAACCCAGAGUCCCCUGAAGAGGGAGUUGCAGCACAUGUCCCUCCACCUUGUUCCCAUGCCGCUGUGGGCAGGAGGCAGUAUGCGCCCCACAGGGCUAUCUUUGAGCACCCAGAGGCCAAGACAGCACUGCAGAGGAGGAAGAUGACAGAGGCUGUAGUGGAAAGGCAUCUACAGGAUGCUGAGCAUGACUGACACGACUCAUGUGAUACCAGCCUGGCAAAAGCUUGGGAGCGGGAGGCUCUGCAGAGGUGGGAGAAGGACAGCCCCAGCAGGAGGACCAGUGAACUAUCUUCCCUGGCGGUGGUGGUUGCUGGGCACUUGCUGGAAGAAGCAGCUCUGCCUGCUGCCGACCUUCUCAUGGCUGAUGCCUGGGUGGACAGCAGAGCCCCCAUCCAUGUGGGCAAGUCAGGUUAGAAGGCUGAGGUGUGGUAAAAAGCACGGGAACUAUAAGGCCCUAUCCUGUCCUCUCCAUUCCCACCAGCAUUGUGCUAGUUAGGCCUUGUUGGCCAAAUUCUGUUAAUUUUGUCUCUGUAUAGGCCCUGUUGGCCCACAGGGCAAUGUACAUGGUUGUGUUUGUCCUCUCCUCCAUUUCCAUUCUAAGGUAUGAGCUGUAUUUCCCCCAGGAACUGAAACCUUUUCUUGUUUGAGCUUUGUGACAGCUGUUUGUUUAGCUGUAGUGUUCCUCCCAUCUGGGUUUUUGGCCUUUACUUAAAGCUCCCCUUUCUGUGUAUGUUAGCAUACAGCCACCACUGAAACUGUUUCUGGAACGCUGUCAUCACUCUGCUGUGCUGGGCCUGCUGUGAGCCAGUGGCUGUAAGCCAAACACUCAUCCCAUCUCUGCCCCAUGGGUGGAAACAGCAUAGUUAAAAUUGGCAUGGACACCACUGCUGUCAGGAUGUCCUUGUGAACUGGUGCAGAGGAUAAAUGACAACUUCUGCAAUGCAAAUGAAGAUCUGAAUGCCAGGAGUCAGCCAGCUUUUUAUUUUCUUGCAAGGAAGAUACUACCAUCCCCUUUGAUCUGAGACUGAUGGUUCAAAAGACAUGAGCAUCAGAAUCCUGAUGAAGUUGCUGAGAUGCCUACAGAUGUCUCUUGAUGGUUCUGCAGUGUCAGCCUGGCAAGGCCAGUGGUCCUUGUGAUCUGUUUAGCCAUAACCAUAGCGAGAUGGUCACUGGUUAAAAUGUGGAGCCCUCAUCAGGCCCACAGAUGUGCUGGAUGAUUUUCAUGUUACUCAUAUGUGCUGCUCAGCAGUUGGACUAUAACCUCCAAGACUUUCUUCAUGCCUCUGUCCUCCUCAGCUUGGCAGUAGUUUGGUUGCAGGGCUCCAUAAAAAUGCAGUAGCCUCCCCCUUGAUAACACAGGGGCUGCUGAAGACUUCGGUGAAGGUGAUGACAUGAGAACUGAUGCGUGUUAUCUGGGUGACAGAUGAAGUCUAGUGUGGUACCUUCUAAAGGGGCCUGCUGACAAGGAUUCAAAGCCUAUUGGAAACUUUGUUUUGGAGAAGGUUUGAACCACAUCUGUGGUGGAGACAGGCAGUGCUGUGCUGUGAUACAUCUAAUCUGAAAAUAUCUCCCUGAACCAGUGCCUACAACAUUCCUAGUUUUCGUGCUGGUGCUCAGUUGCUCAGCUCAUUGAGUGGAUACGCCUAUACAAAGCGAGCCUGGAAGAAAGAAGUUGUCGAGUUGUUUAUGGAUCCAGCUUUUUUCCAGAUGGACACUUCAUGCACUCAUUGGAGAUCCAUUAUUGACCAUCUUCUAACACAUGAGAAAACUAUGUUUAAAGAUUUGAUGAGUAAGU
Molecule: RNA transcript, 8379 nt
Organism: Aquila chrysaetos chrysaetos
Lineage: Eukaryota; Metazoa; Chordata; Aves; Accipitriformes; Accipitridae
Gene: DOP1B
Gene name: DOP1 leucine zipper like protein B
Exons: 34
Source: RefSeq, a predicted model, not a curated record